Molecule: non-coding RNA, 38 nt
Filed under: Trypanosoma brucei brucei
Lineage: Eukaryota; Euglenozoa; Kinetoplastea; Trypanosomatida; Trypanosomatidae
Source: RNAcentral
AAUCUGGAGAGGAGAUAGUUCCUCGCAACUUGUAAUAU